GAAAUUUGAGUAUCUUUGAUAGAUACCCGAGAAAUUUGAGUAUCUUUAAUAGAUACCCGAGAAAUUUGAGUAUCUUUGAUAGAUACCCGAGAAAAUAAGUUCAUGAUCUUAUAUGACCCCACAGCAAAAUUUUAAACCUUUUACUCUUGUGAGUGGUGAAUUGGGUAGUAUGUGAUAUGUGUGAAUGGUGUAAGCUAUUUGGUAUACGGUGUAAGGUGUAAGGUGAAUUUCAGGGACGAAAUUCUUAGAAGGAGGGGUGAAUGUGA
RNAcentral lists this long non-coding RNA (266 nucleotides) under Panax ginseng (ginseng). RNAcentral's name for it is "long non-coding RNA (PGIN_LNC005324)". The record is from RNAcentral. Lineage: Eukaryota; Viridiplantae; Streptophyta; Magnoliopsida; Apiales; Araliaceae.